AAAAGCAUGGGUAGCAAACAGGAUUUAGAUACCCCUGGUAAGUCCAUGCCGUAAAACGAUGAUUACUAGGUGUGGGGGGUCUGACCCUUCCGUGCCGGAGUUAACACAAUAAGUAAUCCACCUGGGGAGUACGACCGCAAGGUUGAAACUCAAAGGAAUUGACGGGGGCCCGCACAAGCAGUGGAGUAUGUGGUUUAAUUCGAAGCAACGCGAAGAACCUUACCAGGUCUUGACAUCCACCGAAUCCUGUAGAGAUACGGGAGUGCCCUUCGGGGAACGGUGAGACAGGUGGUGCAUGGUUGUCGUCAGCUCGUGUCGUGAGAUGUUGGGUUAAGUCCCGCAACGAGCGCAACCCUUGUGAAUAGUUGCUACGAAAGAGCACUCUAUUCAGACCGCCGUUGACAAAACGGAGGAAGGUGGGGAUGACGUCAAAUCAUCAUGCCCCUUAUGACCUGGGCUACACACGUACUACAAUGGCUGGUACAGAGAGAUGCUAAACCGCGAGGUGGAGCCAAACUUUAAAACCAGUCAGUUCGGAUUGUAGGCUGAAACUCGCCUACAUGGAGCUGGAGUUGCUAGUAAUCGCGAAUCAG
This 593-nucleotide ribosomal RNA is filed under the name hydrogen production community clone HPB-G1-5. RNAcentral's name for it is "bacterial SSU rRNA". It matches the Rfam family "Bacterial small subunit ribosomal RNA", at positions 755 to 1352 of the family's 1533-position model. The record is from RNAcentral. Lineage: Bacteria; Bacillati; Bacillota; Clostridia; Eubacteriales; Clostridiaceae.